Molecule: long non-coding RNA, 1617 nt
Filed under: Eucalyptus grandis
Lineage: Eukaryota; Viridiplantae; Streptophyta; Magnoliopsida; Myrtales; Myrtaceae
Description: long non-coding RNA (EGRA_LNC004874)
Source: RNAcentral
GCUUCUUCAACAAAAAGACUUUUCUUGGAUUCUUUCACUGCUUGACCUUCUCUGGAACUUCCCCCCACGAUUCCUCACGAGGUUCGAUCAAUCCUUCCCUUCUCGCCUCUCUUUUCAUGUUUCGGCUUUCGUCUGCAUCCUCUCUUUUCCCCUGAUUAAGUUUAUGCUUACACUAGAACUUUGUUUGAUGGCAUUUGAUGCAUGAUGUGGAACGGUUGUGUGUGAGUCGAGGGUUGACUGGAUAUGCAGAUUGUGGAUCUGUUUUGGAGUCAAGGACUGUCGUGCUUGGUCUUGGAAAUGGUGUUUUGGAAGCAAUGGUUGGUGUUUAGCUUUGUGAUUGCUUUAGCAAUCUGUGAGAGAACCUAUCUUCUUGCUUGCUUGUUGUGAUUGUGGAUGAAUUGGCAUCUGUUGUUGAGAGAUAUCUGUGCUGCAGAGAGUGUGGCUCAAGGGUUCGGGUUCUUUUUAGGCGUUGUACCUUCAUAACUCCGUCGGGUGACUUUGAUGGGGUUACGGAACGAGAGCUGUUUACUGCUUUUCAUCGGAUAUCUGUCAUGCUUUGUCUACAAAUCUUGUCAUGUGAUCUGCUCAUCGAGAUCUUAUAUUGCUUUCCAUGCAUAAGGAUGUUUGUGCAUUCUUUCAUGUCACUGGAAAAACUUUCACUUAAUGCUCUUAUUUUUUGCACUUUUUCAACUAAAAGACUGAACUAUACUCAACCUUUUCCUUGCGUUUCCUGAUUCUUUUCUCAGUCUUACAGUGGUAUUCAAGCUCUCCUCUAGUAUGUUAUGUAAGACUAACAUUCUGCUGGAAGUAACCCCUGUGCUUUAGAUAUGCUUUAGUAAUGCUAGAACGAUCAAUCUGUCAUUAAGGCAAUUUCCUUACAAAAAGAGGUUGCGCUUAUCUGCGAGUUCAUUUGAGUUUAACCUUUCCUUUGCAGAAGCUGUCAUGCCUUUCUACUGCUGGUUUAGAUGUAUGUGCAGCCUAGAUAAUUGGGACUGGCCAAGGAAGGGCACAGCAUUUUUUGAAAUUCCAUGCUUGAUUCUUUGGUUUCUUGGCCAAGAUGCCUUCUAUUUCAUGGUCAAAAUUUAGCUAAGAUGGUGACUUGAUUAUCAGCAGUCAGGAGACUGAAUGGAACCAAAGAGCCUGGUUUUGGUGUUGCCUUCGCAUAAUUGUUGGUGAAGCCAUUCUAUAUCAAGGGGGCAUAUUGCUAGAUGAUGUCUUCAGUAGCUGUAGGUCCUUGGUGGAAAUGAUCACAUGUUUUGACAUGUAUGGUAACUUGCAGCUUUGAGGCAAGAACUGGAGCAUUAUGUUUUCAUACGCCAGUUUUUUCAAGGGGACAAUCACCUCGUGGCACACUUCAACACACUGUAUUGACAGCUUUAGAUGGGGACUUUGGCAGUAGCUGAAAAUCAAGCUGCGCAUGACUCUGAACUCCUGGGCUAGUCAAUUGUAUCAAUGCAUGGUUUUGACUUAGUCCACUUAUUUAUAGCAAACAAUUGUAUGCGGGAUUCACCUCCAGCUUUCAUAAUUUACAAUAUUCAAAGCCUGGUUUGUUAUCUUCUUCUUUUGCACUUCCAUUUGAUGCAGCCAUUUGCAGAGCGCCCCCUUCGAAUUAAAAGG